GCCGAGGUGGCGGAAUUGGCAGACGCGCCAGGUUGAGGGCCUGGUGAACAGAAAUGUUCGUAAGGGUUCAAGUCCCUUCCUCGGCACCA
This 89-nucleotide transfer RNA is filed under the name Roseiflexus castenholzii. RNAcentral's name for it is "tRNA-Leu". It matches the Rfam family "tRNA". Rfam says of the family: Transfer RNA (tRNA) molecules are approximately 80 nucleotides in length. Their secondary structure includes four short double-helical elements and three loops (D, anti-codon, and T loops). The record is from RNAcentral. RNAcentral also lists the same sequence under 5 other names. Lineage: Bacteria; Bacillati; Chloroflexota; Chloroflexia; Chloroflexales; Roseiflexaceae.